Apis mellifera (honey bee) is the source of this 3033-nucleotide long non-coding RNA. RefSeq lists it as uncharacterized. The transcript is spliced from 6 exons. NCBI's taxonomy places the organism in Eukaryota, Metazoa, Arthropoda, Insecta, Hymenoptera, Apidae. The record is from RefSeq and is a predicted model, not a curated record.
UAUAUUUUCUAGUGAAAUUUUUACUGCGAAAAUGUUCCUCUAUAUUUUAUAUUCUCGUUACUCAUUUUUCUUUUUAGUCUAAUCUCUUAAAUUUCAAUCGAAGGAAAAUUCGUACGUCUAAUGAUUGACAAGGAAGUUCCUUGUAAAUUAAUCAAAAUGGCGGUGAAAAAUUACGAUAAUCCUCACGGUCGUCGUGCUAUCUUUUAGUUAUUUAUAGUCGUGGGCAUACAACAAUGACAGGUAUAUUCGAUAACGAAUUCUAGUUAGAAACUGAACAUUAUCCUCGUUUAAAACGGAAUGGAAGCUGAAUAACCGAGGAAAAUUCUUUCGUAAUUGGCUUCCGGAAUUUUAUGUUUCAUUGAACUUCUCAUCGACUCUGUUUACUUGUAAAUCUAUGCAUUUUUUAUCAUUUUUAAUAUUUACGUAAUUGAUCGAGAAAAUUGUUUUGUAAAAAAUCGAUCGACGAUAAUUAUCAUGUGAAAGAUAAUUAAGUGAAAUGAAAUUGUUAUAAAUUAUCGUGUCCAUUGAUUUUGAAUUAAUUAAACGAAGAAUUCGAUGAAAAAGAAGGAAAGAGAAAUGAUUCUAAAUUUUUAACCGGUAAUGCACAUACAGUAGAUAGUGACUCAAAGUGAAAAAAUAAAUAGAAGUUUAUUUAUUUAACCAAGACAGCUAGGAAGUUGGAGUUCUGCCACGAGAUUGCCACUCUCAAAGUUGUUUCUACGACCACGCAGAGGUGGAAAGCUUUGGUCGACGACGAUAGCCUCUUUGCACGCAUACCCGCUCGCGUAUUUGCACUUUGUCCGACUGUAAAUUACGUUUCCACGGCGUGGCGAGAUACAGCGAAAACGCCAUUGGACCCUCUUCGUGGACUAUUAUCGUGCAACGAGGAUAUCUAAACUUAUAUAUAUAUAUAAGUACAUAUACUUCUGCUUAAAAGUCUUGGAAUAUCUUUUAUGGUGUAAUCAUGAAUUUUAAUUUUUACGUUAAAUACAUUAAUAUUUAUUGAUGGUCACUAAAUUUCUUAACUCUUUACUCUGUAAACAUUUUCACGAUUACCUCGAACCAUAAACGAUGGUCAUUUGUAUUCAACGUGAUUUUCAAUAGAUGUUUCGAACGGAGAGGAAGAAAAGUUCCACGAAGAGAAAAAUCGAGCGAUCCAAAAAGGGAAGAAAGAAAGAUGAAUUCGUGCAUUUAAUAAUAUAUAUAUAUAUAUUUUAUCGAACGAAAAGUGCUCGAUGAAGGAAAGAAAAAAUUUGAUGGAAAAAGAAAAAGGCCCAAUGAAGGUUGCAUCGACUCAAUUAAGAGAUCAUCAUAUUCAUUUAAUAAGUACAAUAGAUGUCCUAAAACUUCUCGAAUAAAGAAUGUUUAUACUCGAAAAAAAAAAAAAAAGACGCACGGAAGAAUCCGUGGAACGGGGGCCAGGCCCAGAGAAGGAGGAAAUGAGAUGGAAGAUGGUGGGUCAGGCGAAAAAGGAAGAGGCAGAGAGUCGAUCGAGGAUUAAGUAGUCGAGGUGAUCUCGCGCACUUAGGGCUACAAGGGAUAAAGCUCCGGCACUGUCAGUGGGCAGGGUGGGACGAAGGGUGGACCAACCGGUCCUCGAGGUUGCCUCGGCUUAUUCAGUCAACGAACUCUGCGGGCCUACGACGUGACACUGACCCCUCCAGGGUAAACGUCCCUGGCCGGUCGCUUUAUCAAUGUAAACGCGCCGAUCGCCGGUGGAAAUAAAUGGGAAAAAAGAGAAGGAGGGGGGAGAGGGGAAAAAAAAAGAAAGAGAAAAGAAAAAAGAGUGGAAAGAAGGGAGAAAUAAGAAGAAAUAAGAGGGAGAAGUGGAAAAGGAAAGGGGAAAAAAGGAGAGAGAAAGAAAAAGAAAAGGAAAGGCACGGUUGCGUCGUCGGAAGGCAAAGAGAAGUGGAUGGUUGUAACAUUAGCGAGACGCUGAAGACGAUGAUCCCUUCGGGGCGUGUUUCUUCCAACGGUAUACGUAUAAUGUAUAGGGUGGCUUGAAUGAACGCAUGUCCAUACCUAAGAAUGGGACAAUAAUCUUUGCAAUAGAUAUCCUUUGAUCUUCUUGCUCCGUUUCAUCUUCAUCUCUUGAAAUUGAGGUAAUAGAUUAAUAAAGAAAGGACUUGCACUUUUAUGGAUUGGAUUUUCAUACUUAAGGAAAAUUUUUCCAAUUUUUUUGAUCUUGUUCUCAAGGUAAUUGAUUAAUAAAGAAUGGAUUGCACUUAUGGAUUGGAUUUUUUCCAAUGGACGUUCUUUGAUCCUGUUCCAUUGGAUAUUUAUUGCAUCGACACGUUUGAAAAUUGAGGUAUUCGAUGCUAGUGAACGGUAUGAACGAUAUGUAAUAAAGAGAAGGAUUUUAAAUUAUUAGGAGGAAUGGUAUUUUCCAACGGAAUUCGAACUGACUGGUAUUCUCAAUGGAUUUGUAUUUAUGAAUCACCUUGUGUGCACGGUGGUGAGUCCACGUUUAUGGGAGAGAGCUGAUAACGUUGCGAAUUUCCUCACGUUCUUUCGCGUGGUAAUUUGCGAUUUAGCCGGAAUGAGAAGGGUUGGUGGAUUGUCGUGGAUUUUUAUCAGUGGAAGAAUUGGUUUUCGCCCAUUACGUUGUUUUAUAUAUUUUAUUUAUACAAUGGAUAGAGGCUUAAAGCCUCUAUUCACCUCUAUCCUAAAUUCAAAAAAUUUAACAUAAUUUUUAUCCUCUUCAAGGUUGAAGGAGAAUUUUUUGAAGAAUAUUGUAUACAAGCGAUUAAAUUGAGAAGAAAGAGUUGAGGCAGUUUUUUAGAAAUAUAUUUGGAAAAGAAGGAGAAAAUAAUGGGUAUAAUAAGGGGGAAAGGAAAGAUAGAAAGAUACGUCGAACUUGGAGAAAGAAUUUUCUUCUUCUUCAGGGAUUUAGGAGCUUAUCUAUUAGGAGAAGAGAAAGAUUCUCGUUUUCUCAAGAGUUUUAAUGUACAUUGUAUGUUAUUUAUCUUGUACUUCCGAUUAAAUUACGAUAACGAGAUUAUCUAUUUUUAGAUAGAUACUCUCUUAAAAGAA